This 654-nucleotide ribosomal RNA is filed under the name Enterobacter cloacae. Its description in RNAcentral is "bacterial SSU rRNA". It matches the Rfam family "Bacterial small subunit ribosomal RNA", at positions 547 to 1202 of the family's 1533-position model. The record is from RNAcentral. Lineage: Bacteria; Pseudomonadati; Pseudomonadota; Gammaproteobacteria; Enterobacterales; Enterobacteriaceae.
GGAUUACUGGGGCGUAAGCGCACGCAGGCGGUCUGUCAAGUCGGAUGUGAAAUCCCCGGGCUCAACCUGGGAACUGCAUUCGAAACUGGCAGGCUAGAGUCUUGUAGAGGGGGGUAGAAUUCCAGGUGUAGCGGUGAAAUGCGUAGAGAUCUGGAGGAAUACCGGUGGCGAAGGCGGCCCCCUGGACAAAGACUGACGCUCAGGUGCGAAAGCGUGGGGAGCAAACAGGAUUAGAUACCCUGGUAGUCCACGCCGUAAACGAUGUCGAUUUGGAGGUUGUGCCCUUGAGGCGUGGCUUCCGGAGCUAACGCGUUAAAUCGACCGCCUGGGGAGUACGGCCGCAAGGUUAAAACUCAAAUGAAUUGACGGGGGCCCGCACAAGCGGUGGAGCAUGUGGUUUAAUUCGAUGCAACGCGAAGAACCUUACCUGGUCUUGACAUCCACAGAACUUACCAGAGAUGCUUUGGUGCCUUCGGGAACUGUGAGACAGGUGCUGCAUGGCUGUCGUCAGCUCGUGUUGUGAAAUGUUGGGUUAAGUCCCGCAACGAGCGCAACCCUUAUCCUUUGUUGCCAGCGGUUAGGCCGGGAACUCAAAGGAGACUGCCAGUGAUAAACUGGAGGAAGGUGGGGAUGACGUCAAGUCAUCAUGGCCCU